CCUAUUCUUCAAUCUCAAACUCCCAAACCUUACAAUAAUGUGUCAGCUCCUAUGUUGGGCAUUAUAAUUCCUCCAUUCUUCAAUACGUCCGCAGCCACAGCACCUGAACUCGCCAGUGACAGCUGCUCGUUGGAGGUAUUUCUCGACCUAAAACAUGAUCAAAGAUCUAAUAGCAUAAGCUUUAAAUUAAAGACAUAUAACACAAAACAAAGAAAGAAGCAACAUCACACAAUGUUAAUUGAAAAUACUUAAAAUCAAGUUGAGUGGUCAAUAAAUUUUAAUAUCCG
This 287-nucleotide long non-coding RNA is filed under the name Cucumis sativus (cucumber). RNAcentral's name for it is "long non-coding RNA (CSAT_LNC000675)". Lineage: Eukaryota; Viridiplantae; Streptophyta; Magnoliopsida; Cucurbitales; Cucurbitaceae. The record is from RNAcentral.